This 460-nucleotide ribosomal RNA is filed under the name Escherichia coli. RNAcentral describes it as "bacterial SSU rRNA". It matches the Rfam family "Bacterial small subunit ribosomal RNA", at positions 338 to 795 of the family's 1533-position model. Lineage: Bacteria; Pseudomonadati; Pseudomonadota; Gammaproteobacteria; Enterobacterales; Enterobacteriaceae. The record is from RNAcentral.
CCUACGGGGGGCUGCAGUGAGGAAUAUUGGUCAAUGGACGAGAGUCUGAACCAGCCAAGUAGCGUGCAGGAUGACGGCCCUAUGGGUUGUAAACUGCUUUUAUAAGGGAAUAAAGUGAGUCUCGUGAGACUUUUUGCAUGUACCUUAUGAAUAAGGACCGGCUAAUUCCGUGCCAGCAGCCGCGGUAAUACGGAAGGUCCGGGCGUUAUCCGGAUUUAUUGGGUUUAAAGGGAGCGUAGGCCGGAGAUUAAGCGUGUUGUGAAAUGUAGACGCUCAACGUCUGCACUGCAGCGCGAACUGGUUUCCUUGAGUACGCACAAAGUGGGCGGAAUUCGUGGUGUAGCGGUGAAAUGCUUAGAUAUCACGAAGAACUCCGAUUGCGAAGGCAGCUCACUGGAGCGCAACUGACGCUGAAGCUCGAAAGUGCGGGUAUCGAACAGGAUUAGAUACCCUAGUAGUC